RNAcentral lists this long non-coding RNA (504 nucleotides) under Ananas comosus (pineapple). RNAcentral describes it as "long non-coding RNA (ACOM_LNC005876)". The record is from RNAcentral. Lineage: Eukaryota; Viridiplantae; Streptophyta; Magnoliopsida; Poales; Bromeliaceae.
AUAUCUUUGAUGAAAAAUUUUAGUACUAUAUCACCACUUUUUAUGAGAUUUUUAUUUUCAGCCGUUGAUUUUGAAUCCUUUCGAUUACUAAGUAAACGAUAUCGAAAAAUCGCAAAAUUUAUUUUCUAGAUACUUCAAAUAUGCUAGAUCAAAUCUAGCGGAACUGAUCGUCGAUUCGGGAGUCCCAAUGUCCCAUCAUUGAAAACGACUCAAGAGCACGGAGGGCCCUGUGCUCCUGAGAGCACAGCAGCUCAACUCUAUAUGAGUCCGGCUACUAUACUAUCGAUAGUACCAAGCCCUUGGUACUAUUGAGUUUUCUACCGUUAGAUCUACCCUUUGAACAUUUCCACCUAUUAGAUUAUACUAUUAAACCAACCACCCACUCAACCCUAGAGGACCACUAUCAAUUUAACCGGGAACCACUAUCAUCCUAACUGCACAUCCUUUCAUCCAACGGUAGAAAACUCAAUAGUACCAAGGGCUUGGUACUAUCGAUAGUAUAGU